CACAUGACAAGGUCGAACGGUAGAGUAGCAAUACUUGAGAGUGGCGAACGGGUGAGUAAUAUAUCGGAACGUGCCCAGUCGUGGGGGAUAACGUAGCGAAAGCUACGCUAAUACCGCAUACGAUCUACGGAUGAAAGCGGGGGGAUCGCAAGACCUCGCGCGAUUGGAGCGGCCGAUAUCAGAUUAGGUAGUUGGUGAGGUAAAGGCUCACCAAGCCGACGAUCUGUAGCUGGUCUGAGAGGACGACCAGCCACACUGGGACUGAGACACGGCCCAGACUCCUACGGGAGGCAGCAGUGGGGAAUUUUGGACAAUGGGCGCAAGCCUGAUCCAGCAAUGCCGCGUGCAGGAUGAAGGCCUUCGGGUUGUAAACUGCUUUUGUACGGAACGAAACGGUGAGCUCUAAUACAGUUUGCUAAUGACGGUACCGUAAGAAUAAGCACCGGCUAACUACGUG
This 457-nucleotide ribosomal RNA is filed under the name uncultured bacterium. Its description in RNAcentral is "bacterial SSU rRNA". It matches the Rfam family "Bacterial small subunit ribosomal RNA", at positions 52 to 507 of the family's 1533-position model. The record is from RNAcentral.